This 442-nucleotide ribosomal RNA is filed under the name uncultured bacterium. RNAcentral describes it as "bacterial SSU rRNA". It matches the Rfam family "Bacterial small subunit ribosomal RNA", at positions 958 to 1400 of the family's 1533-position model. The record is from RNAcentral.
AACGCGAAGAACCUUACCUACUUUUGACAUCCUGCGAAUUGACCUGAAAGGGUUAAGUGCCGAAAGGAGCGCAGAGACAGGUGCUGCAUGGCUGUCGUCAGCUCGUGUUGUGAGAUGUUGGGUUAAGUCCCGUAACGAGCGCAACCCUUGCCCUUAGUUGCCAGCGAGUAAAGUUGGGGACUCUAAGGGGACUGCCGGUGAUGAACCGGAGGAAGGCGGGGAUGACGUCAAGUCAUCAUGGCCUUUAUAAGUAGGGCCACACACGUGCUACAAUGGGACGUACAAAGGGAAGCGAAGCUGCAAAGUGAAGCGAAACUCAAAAAGCGUCUCGUAGUCCGGAUUGGAGUCUGCAACUCGACUCCAUGAAGUCGGAAUCGCUAGUAAUCGCGAAUCAGCCAUGUCGCGGUGAAUACGUUCCCGGGCCUUGUACACACCGUGUCGA